GACGAACGCUGGCGGCGUGCUUAACACAUGCAAGUCGAACGGAAAGGCCCUGCUUUUGUGGGGUGCUCGAGUGGCGAACGGGUGAGUAACACGUGAGUAACCUGCCCUUGCCUUUGGGAUAACUUCAGGACACUGGGGCUAAUCCCGGAUAGGAGCUCCUGCUGCAUGGUGGGGGUUGGAAAGUUUCGGCGGUUGGGGAUGGAAUCGCGGCGUAUCAGCUUGUUGGUGUGGUAGUGGCUUACCAAGGCUUUGACGGGUAGCCUGCCUGAGAGGGGGACCGGCCACAUUGGGACUGAGAUACGGCCCAGACUCCUACGGGAGGCAGCAGUGGGGAAUAGUACACAAGGGGCGGAAGCCUGAUGCAACAACGCAGCGUGCGGGAUGACGUCCUUCGGGUUGUAAACCGCUUUCGCCUGUGACGAAGCGUUAGUGACGGUAAUGGGUAAAGAAGCACCGGCUAACUACGUG
This 468-nucleotide ribosomal RNA is filed under the name uncultured bacterium. Its description in RNAcentral is "partial 16S ribosomal RNA". It matches the Rfam family "Bacterial small subunit ribosomal RNA", at positions 28 to 507 of the family's 1533-position model. The record is from RNAcentral.